GAUAAGAACGUAGCGAAAUGCGAUACUUGGUGUGAAUUGCAGAAUCCCGUGAACCAUCGAGUCUUUGAACGCAAGUUGCGCCCGAAGCCAUCAGGUUGAGGGCACGUCUGCCUGGGCGUCACAUAUCGUUGCCCAAUGCCUAUUGCAGUGCAAUAGGAAUUUCUAGGGCGAAUGAUGGCUUCCCGUGAGCGUUGUUGCCUCGCGGUUGGUUGAAAAUCGAGUCCUUGGUAGGGUGUGCCAUGGUAGAUGGUGGUCGAGUUAGAACGAUACCGAUCAUGUGCAUGCUCCCCAAAAUAUGGCCUCUAUGACCCACACGCGUCUUUUGACGCUCAUGACGAGACCUCAGGUCAGGCGGGGCUACUCGCUGAAUUUAAGCAUAUCAAUAAGCGGAGGA
RNAcentral lists this unclassified non-coding RNA (394 nucleotides) under soil metagenome. RNAcentral's name for it is "partial contains 5.8S ribosomal RNA, internal transcribed spacer 2, and large subunit ribosomal RNA". The stretch from base 4 to 121 matches the Rfam family "5.8S ribosomal RNA", at positions 39 to 154 of the family's 154-position model. The record is from RNAcentral.